RNAcentral lists this long non-coding RNA (732 nucleotides) under Salmo salar (Atlantic salmon). Its description in RNAcentral is "lncRNA (ENSSSAG00000092728.1)". The record is from RNAcentral. Lineage: Eukaryota; Metazoa; Chordata; Actinopteri; Salmoniformes; Salmonidae.
AGCUAGCAAAUGCAACUAGCUAGUUUAGCCUACUCAACAUCCUGUUCAAACAGAGAGAUGCUGUGUUAGUUAGCUGGCUAUGUUGAUCCAACAAAACACUGGAACUCUUCCAAGUCAAGGACCUGAGCCCUAGGACCAUGCCUCAGGACUACCUGGCUUGAUGACUCCUUGCUGUCCCCAGCUCACCUGGCCGUGCUGCUGCUCCAGUUCUAACUGUUCUGCCUGCAGCUAUGGAACCCUGACCUGUUCACCGGACGUGCUACCUGUCCCAGACCUGUUGUCCCAGACCUGCUGGAACCCUGACCUAUUCACCGGACAUGCUACCUGUCCCAGACCUGCUGUUUUCAACUCUCUAGAGACAGCAGGAGCGGUAGAGAUACUCUCAAAGGUCGGCUAUGAAAAAGCCAACUGACACUUACUCUUGUGUUGCUGACUUGUUGCACCCUCGACAACUACUAUGAUUAUUAUUAUUUGACAAUGCUGGUCAUUUAUGAACAUUUGAACAUCUAGGCCAUGUGCUGUUAUAAUCUCCACCCGGCACAGCCAGAAGAGGACUGGCCACCCCUCAUAGCCUGGUUCCUCUCUAGGUUUCUUCCUAGGUUUUGGCCUUUCUAGGGAGUUUUUCCUAGCCACCGUGCUUCUACACCUGCAUUGCUUGCUGUUUGGGGUUUUAGGCUGGGUUUCUGUACAGCACUUUGAGAUAUCAGCUGAUGUAAGAAGGGCUAUAUAAAU